UCUCCGUUGGUGAACCAGCGGAGGGAUCAUUACUGAGUAUAUCCUACUACUCUCAACCCUUUGCGAACGUACCUGUUCUGUUGCUUCGGCAGGCCGUCCCCUGGGAGGGGCAGCCAGCGCCUGCCGGAGGUUACAAACCCUGAAUUUUAGUGUAUCUCUGAGUACAAAAACGAAAUAAUUAAAACUUUCAACAACGGAUCUCUUGGUUCUG
RNAcentral lists this unclassified non-coding RNA (211 nucleotides) under root metagenome. Its description in RNAcentral is "partial contains small subunit ribosomal RNA, internal transcribed spacer 1, and 5.8S ribosomal RNA". The record is from RNAcentral.